UGUUAAAAUUAGCAUUGAAAUAUUUAAUAUAUUUUCUUUUGGAGAUUACUAAAAUGUACUUUAUUUAUUUUGUUUGAGGUGCAUGACAGCUAGAGAGGGACAUCAUUUUGUUUAAGCCUUAUAUAUCUAAUUGAUUUGUAUUAUUAGCAGGCUUUGUUGUAGUUAUACUGACUUUCUGUCACUGAAGUAGUGGCAAUAUCUUUGUUAGAUUGGUUAGUUGACUCUUAUGCAGUCGUAUGCUUUGCCUUGUUGGGGGGUUUGGCCAGGCAAUAAUGGCAUAUGAAGUAUGAGAUUGAGUGGGAGGUAGGAGGGUUUGAUUAGGGAAGCUGUUUACCUGAUAAGCCUGUGUGUGUGUGUGUGUGUGUGUAUGUGUGUAAUUACUCUAUGUCCUGUGACCAUUGACUCAAUAACACAUUGUGGUUGAUCAUGUUGGUAAAUACUAUACAAUUUAAUCCCAGUUCCAAGUCGCCUGACUGUGAUAAGGCAUCUGAUGGCCACAGCUGAGUCACAGCACCUCCAUAAUUAAAAAUACCAAAUGCAUAAAGCCAGUUACAUGUGAACACAAGCUGAUAUGAUAUUCCACUGGAAUAUCUUAUUUAAGAAUAAAAAGUGUUAAGGGAAAAAUGGCCCCAAAAUAAGUACCAAAUGCAAGACAUAAUUCCUUUGGAGUUUCCUGGUGGCCUAGUGGUUAAAGACUGGUAUUGCCACUGCUGUGGCUUGGGGAUGACCCCUGGCCCUGGAACUUCAGCAUGCCACAAGUGUGGACAGAUGGAUGGAUGGAUGGAUAGAUAACUCAUUUAUAGAAAUUCCCAUGAUUCUUGGGCCCUGAACUAGGAGAGAGGCACAUCUGUGGGCAGUUGAUGAUUUAUCAAGGCUUUCUAUGUUCUGGUUGUUGGUUAUGAAAAGCGUGUUGACUGGAAAAUGUUUGGACAUAAUGUGAUAUGUAGAAUUAAUAAAUAUAGUCCUAUAUACUAUCAAUCAUUUCAGUUACCCCAUGAAUAUUCUGUAGUGACUGGAAUCUAAUAAGAAUUGAACUAUCUUUUGUUUUGUGGCACCUGCAGCAUGUAGAACUUCCCAGGUCUGGGAUUAAACCCAAGCCACAGCAGUAACCUGGCCACAGCAGUCUUAAUGCCAAGUUCUUAACCACUAGGCCAUGAGGGAAUUCCUGGAUUGAACUGUUUAAUGUGUCCUGUAAUAACAGUAGGCUGAAGUACAUGCUUAUACACAUAAGGGAGAUAAAUGAUACAUAAUUACAUGAUCAUGUAUUAUGUGUAAUAAAACAUAUGUAUUGUGCUUACCUGUGUGGAAGGACAUGUAAUACACAAUGUACAUAGUAAUGUCAGUUUUAUGAUAAGAUUUUUAGUAUUUACACAGCACAUAAAAAUAGUGUAAAUGUUCCAUAUGCAAAUGGUUCAGGGAAGAGUUUAAGUUGAAUUCCAAAUUUGGGAGCUGAAGGUGGAGCUAGAGCUUCUUCCUUGAGUCAGGAAGAUGCGUUGUUCUACUUUUCUGAUUUACAAACAAGGGUCAUAAAUAUACUGCAAAGUCUCUUUUUUUAAGGUGGUCAUUUUCAAUCAUGCUUGUCAUUAGUAUAAGGACAAGAAUGAAAAUAAUUAUAGAGUAGGGGAGUUCCCAUUGUGGCUCAGAGGUAACAAACCCAAACCAUACCCAUGAAGAAGCAGGUUUGAUCCCUGCCCUUUCCCAGUGGUUCAAGGAUCCAGAGUUGCCAUGAGCUGUGGUGUAGGUCAUGGCUCAGAUCCCACAUUGCCAUGGCUGUGGUGCAGGCCAGGAACUAUAACCCCAAUUCAAUCCCUAGCCUGGGAAUUUCCACAUGCCUCACCAGUGGCCCUAAAAAAAAAAAAGCAUAGAAUAGAUGCUAGUUUGGGUUUACGUAGCCAAAAAAUGAAAACAAAGCUGAGGUGGAUGCCCGGGUUUUAUUCAGUGGGCAAAGAAUGGAUAAGUAGGACCUUAGUUACAGAUGAAGUUCCCAGCCAAGUUGUGAGAGGUCUUUGAUUUUAAGGAGUAAAGAUAAAGGGAGGAGGAGUGAGGCUAAUGACAGGGAGGCCUGACCAUUGCCCUUCAGGGAAGGGUCAGGGCUUUCCUGGAAAUGGGUGCCACCCCCCUUUUAUCCUUUUUUGGUCAGCAUCUUCCAGUCACGACCACCAGUAGGUGUGUCAUCUAGUAGCUAAUGUGGCAAAAUCUGUUGAAUGAGACUCGGAGUCUGGGGAGGCCAGAGUCGUCAUCAUCCUGAUUCCACCUGGUUCCGUCUGGUUUGUCUCUUCCUAUAGCUUCCUCUUCUUGUCUCCAGACCUUUCACUUCUCAACACACGAUAACUCCAGUUCAAGGAGGGUUUCGCAGGCUUUGGCAAGGAUCUGCUGUCGGCUCUGGCAACAACACCCCCUUUCCUCGUCACUACUCCCCAUUCUUGAGGAGGAAGGUCUGUCUUCUGGGGCUGCUUCCUGCUGAACAUGGGCAUAGGUUUCCCCUGGAUUAGAAGUGCAGAACUGUCCCUGCCCCGUCUAACAUAAGCCUGAGCUUCACAAGGCUGCACUCUCAGUUCUUGUACCCUUGUGUUAGUAUCAUCUGAAGUUUGAGGAAUUCAAGUUCUUUACUAAUGAAGUUGACAAGGCAGUUAUGGAAGCAAGGCCUAAAGAUGAACAGGAGGAUAAUUGCAGUCAGUGUGCCAAGAAAUGGAAGAAACCAGUUUAAACUAGAAAGGCUCUCUUUGACCUUAUUCCAGAUGGAGCUUGGAUUGGGACCUUUGGGGGGAUACCUUUGUGCCCUUUGAGCUUGCUUAUACAUCUCUUUUAUGGUUACCUCAAUCUGACCAGAGUUAUUCCCAUGCAUGUGGUGGGUUUUAUUAAUAACUAUGCAGAAUUUCCCUUGCUCAGCCAGGAAGUAGUCAAGGGCUAGCCUAUUGUCAAGUACAAUAUUUUCUACUGAGUCCAGAUAAGCAUGAAAUAAAGCAUCCCUCGUGCUUUUAGGCAAGUCCUCAGGGGCUCAUGUAAGGAUUUGUACAGUGAUUUCAUGGUAUGCAGAACCUCCCCAGGGGGGCACCAAAUCCCCCUUGCUCUAGUCCAAGAGCAAUCCCUACUCCUGCUGGAGGGAAUCUUUUUGCCCCUUUAUCUCAGUGCUGGAUGAUAUUAUGGUUAUACCUAGGUUCCUAGAACUUACCAGCCUAGUGUGCAUUGUGCACAAAUGGGGCAUCAUUUAAGCAAGGAUCCAGAAUUGCUGCAAGAUGCAGCACAGGUUGCAGAUGCAGCUGGGAUCUGGCAUUGCUGUGGCUGUGGUAUAGGACAACAGCUGCAGCUCCUAUUUGACUCCUACCCUGGGGACUUCCAUAUGUCUCAGAUGCAGCCCUAAAAAGAAAAACAAAAAACAAAAAAAGAAACUUCUGGACAUAUAUCUGGAGAAAACCAUAAUUGGAAAAGUUAUAUGCACCCCAAUAUUCAUUGUGGAACUACUGACACUAUCCAAGACAUAGAAGCCACGUAAAUGUCCUUUGACAGAGGAAUGGCUAAAGAUGUGGUAUAUAUCAUGGAAUGUUACUUGGCUGUAAAAAGAAUGAAAUAAUGCCAUUUGCAGCAACAUGGGUGGACCUAGAGUUUAACAUACCAAGUAAAUCAGACAAAUAUCUUAUGAGAUCACUUCUAUGUGGAAUCUAGUAAAAUUAUACAAAACUUCCUUAUAAAAUGGAAACAAACACAGUUCUUAAAACUGAACUUAUGGUUACCCAGGGGGAAACCAUGGGGAGUGGGAAUAAAUUGGAACAAUAAUAUUAGCAUAUACACACUACAAUGUACAGAAUAGAUAAUGGGCAAGAAUCUGUUGCAGAGCACAGAGGAAUAUACUCAAUAUUCUGUAAUAACCUAUAUGGGAAAAAAAAUGAAUACCUCUCUGUCUCUGUCUCUGUCUCUCUCUCUCACUCACACACACACACACACUCAAGUAAAAUUAAAUAAAUAAUAAAGGGAAACAUUCAAAUUAUGUCAAGACACUCAUCAAGGCUUGAUCUCCCUUUUCCCCAUAGCACUUGUACGAAUGCGAAUAGUCCCUAAAGGAAAAAUCAUGUUGAGUCCAUAUGAGACCAUGUAUGGGAGGCACAUUCCUGAAGGAACUGGCUCUGAGACCACCCUGGGGGAUAUGGACCAAUAGAAAUAUGCCUUUCAGAGAGGGGGAAAUAAUCACAGCUUUACACCACGCGACGAUCCAGAACUACCUUCUCCUUGUGAGCCACAGUGGGAAAUCCAGGAGUUCCUUUUGAGGGUUUGAUUUGUUCUACUUUCCUGAGGAUUGUGGUUUCCAAGUGGAGGGUAAACCCCAUGUAAUUCCUAGAGCUCUAGAGACUCCCUUAGUAAUUUGGGGAACAAAGGCAGGCCCAUUGUCCCUCUUGAUGGACUUAGGGGGCCCAAACAGGGAAUUCUUUCCUUGAGAAAGGUCUUAGAAACCUCCAAGGCAGUCUCAGUUCAGGUGAGAAAUGACUCCAUCCAGUCUGAGAAGGUGUCAGUCAAAACCCACAAACAUCUAAAAUUUCCUUGUGCCCAGAGCAUUACUGUAAAAUCAGUUUGCCAGUCUUGACCUGAACAUGUGCCUCGAUACCAGAUAUGGGUCACUCCAGUAACCUUGGGGAGGGUGAGUUUGGGGCCUGUCCUGGAGGCAGGGCAAGUUUCAACCAGCCUCGUAGUGGUGGACAGGGAGAAAGGACUGUGCUGGGAGAUUUUGACAGAGCUCACUGUCUCAUAUAAGGCCUGUGGUGGUUUUUAGAGUGAGAGGAGGAGGGAAAUCAACACAAGAGGAGUUGGCUUGAAUAUUGGGCAAGCACUGCUCCAGGAUCAGACUUGCACACUGGGUCUGGAAAGCUGGACUGGUGGUCAUGAAUGAAGAGUGUAAAAAGCAGAGUUUCCUUGGUGGGCAGGCUGUGACGAUCCUACAGACCUGUCUCUUGGUUCUCUGAAAAAUUUCUUCUUUUUCUCCCAUUUGAGCCUCUCCCUCCUCUGGAUCACCCCUGAGGAAAAAUAUGACUCAAGAAAAGUCAUGUAAAUUAGGAGGGGAGGAUAAUUAAUUUUUAAAAGUUCACCUGAUUCAGAGUGGCCGUGGCUGAUUGACUAAGAGGAAUGGUGAAGGAUGGGGAGGAGUGAGAGCCACAGCUGAAUUGAAGGGGGAAAGUACACGCUCUGGACAGCUCUUGAUUCUUCUUAGAAGAGGAACUAAAUCAGCUAUCCCAGCCAGGGCAGUCCUUGGGUUUGUUCAGGAGGCAGGAGGAAGUGCUCUGAGUUGUCAUUGGAGGGAAUGGCCGCCGGAGGGCGCUGAAGUGCCAUCCAAGCACAGCAGCUGCUUGGUGUUGGCACUGCUAGGCUGAGAUGUGGUUGCAGAUGGGGAUGCUGGGUACCCCAGGAGAUGUCCUGCCAGGAGGGGUUGCUUACAGGUCGCAACUGACACUCCAGGCCAAAUUGGCUUACCUGGUGAAAGGAAACUUAUGCCACCUUCACACAUCUGGGUCACUUUCAAGUGGCACAGCUAGCCCAAAGCCCACAUUAAAGGACAGCUCUUAAAGGUUCAGACUGCCUUUUGAUUCUCUAGAGGUAGAAUUCUGAAACACAUGCGGUUGGUUUGAGUAUUGGGCAUUUGGUUGUCCAGAAUCAGGCUUCCAUGAUGUUUGGCAUCUGGAGAGCAGGGCCAGUGGUCAUCAGUGGAGAGUAUAAAACAGGGGUCCUUUGGAGGGCAGGCUAUGCCCAUCCCAGAAAACUGUCUCGAGUGUUCUCUGAAUUUUCCACAUUUUUCUUUGAUCUGAGCCUCUCCCUCCUUUUGUGCACCCCUGAGGGGAAAUCUUACCUAAAGCCAGGUCACAUAAGAUAAAGGGUGGCUAAAAGGAGGAUAGAGGAGAAAUAAUUUAAAGCCAAUUAUCUGACUCGUAGUGCAUCCGGCUGAUUGACUUCAAGGGCUGCUGAUAGGGAGCAGGGAAGGAUAUGGGAGACCUUGAGAGAGAAACACCACCCUCUGUAAGGCCCUUGAGUUUUCUGAGAAAGGAAGGAGGACCAGAUUAGGCUCGCAGAUGGUCACGAGCAGUGCAGACAGAACCGCUUGCCGUCGGGAGGCGGAGGAUGGGAUCUGAAUUGUCAGCAGAGGUAAUGGUCGCUAGAGGACAAGGAGCCCUGACAUUGCCCACCUGCAGCUUGGCACUCCCAGACUUAGAGACAGGGUUGGAAAUGGUGCUGGUGGAACCCUGAGGAUGUGCCCAGCAAGGAAAGGUGUGUUACAGGUUGCUUCUGACUCUUGGGUCCAAAGUUCCUCUCCUGAUAGUGGGUACACAGUUUUUCCUUUACAACUAAGGGUCAUUUCCGUGCUGCUGGUGGAGCGCUAAGACUAAACGGUUUGGUAGGCCGCCUGGGGUCUCACUGCCUUUGGAUUCUCCAGCAUCAUAACCCAGAAUACAAAAUAUCUGGCUUGAUUCCUGAGCAUGCAGUUGUCCCAAAUCAGCCUUCUGUCACAUGUAUGGCAUCAGGAAACCAGUGCUUGAGGAUCUGAAUGGAGUGUGAAACAGCACUAGUGUUUUGUCUGGCCAGGCUGUACUCCUCACCGGGAUCUAUCUGCCAAAUUUCUCCCCCGAGUGCCUCUUCAUUUUUCCUCUUGAACCAAUGCUUCCUCUCAUU
This 6648-nucleotide long non-coding RNA is filed under the name Sus scrofa (pig). Its description in RNAcentral is "lncRNA (ENSSSCG00025000312.1)". Lineage: Eukaryota; Metazoa; Chordata; Mammalia; Artiodactyla; Suidae. The record is from RNAcentral.